This 771-nucleotide ribosomal RNA is filed under the name Triticum aestivum (bread wheat). RNAcentral's name for it is "partial small subunit ribosomal RNA". The record is from RNAcentral. Lineage: Eukaryota; Viridiplantae; Streptophyta; Magnoliopsida; Poales; Poaceae.
AUGAAUGAAAGUCUCUCAGUUCUAAACUGGAAUGUACGCGGUCUUAACUGCCCAAAUCGUCGCGCCACAGUCCACGAGACCAUUGCUGCUACCCCGUGUAACCUUGUGUGCCUCCAGGAAACGAAAUUGUCAGCGGUCGACCCAUUCCUUGCAUCUUUCCUUGGUGGCCAAAGACUGAAGAACUUUGCUGAGAAGCCGGCGAAUGGAACAAAAGGGGGGAUUCUUCUUCUAUGGAAUGAAGAUUACAUCAAGCUGGACAAUAUCUCUGUUGGAAACUUUAGUAUCUCUGCAAAAAUCACCCUGGUCAGCACUAGCACCUCCUUCAAAUUCACUUCGGUCUACGGACCUACAAGAAGCAACCUUAAAGAUGCGUUCUUCCAAGAGCUAUUAAGCCUGAAGCCACAACAGGGUACAAGAUGGCUAGUCGCAGGUGAUUUUAAUCAGAUUUACCGUGCCUGCGACAAAAACCGCUCUAACGUUGACCGUAGUCGCCUUGUUCGCUUCCGAAGCGCCCUUAACUCAUGUGAGCUAAAAGAGAUACAUCUACAGAAUAGGAAAUAUACAUGGAGCAAUGAGCAGGCCAACCCGACACUGAGCAAGUUAGAUUGUUUUUUCUGUAAUGAUGAUUGGGAUGUUGACUUUGGCUCUCACAUCCUUCAUGCACUAUCGUCCUCGCUCUCUGAUCACUGCCCGCUGCUACGAGCUUGCGGCAAGGGCCCGAAGCGACCAAAAACCUUUCGCUUUGAAAAAUUUAUGGAUCAGGAUGCCUAA